AAGUCGUAACAAGGUUUCCGUAGGUGAACCUGCGGAAGGAUCAUUAUUGUAGGGGCCUUUUGGCCCAUUACGAGAAGCAACCCUUGUCUUUUUUGUGCACCGAUCGUUUCCUCGGCAGCUUUGCCUGCCAACGAGGACCCCCCAAAAAACCUUUCGCAAUCUUAGUAUGACAUUCUGAAAACAAACAAUAUUAAAA
RNAcentral lists this unclassified non-coding RNA (196 nucleotides) under plant metagenome. RNAcentral's name for it is "partial contains small subunit ribosomal RNA and internal transcribed spacer 1". The stretch from base 1 to 46 matches the Rfam family "Eukaryotic small subunit ribosomal RNA", at positions 1786 to 1831 of the family's 1831-position model. The record is from RNAcentral.